RNAcentral lists this small nuclear RNA (93 nucleotides) under Helianthus annuus (common sunflower). Lineage: Eukaryota; Viridiplantae; Streptophyta; Magnoliopsida; Asterales; Asteraceae. The record is from RNAcentral.
GGCCCCUCGGGAACAUCCGAAAAAAUUGGAACGAUACAGAGAAGAUUAGCAUGGCCUCUGCGCAACACAAAUCGAGAAAUGGUCCAAAUUUUU